This is a long non-coding RNA of Schistocerca nitens (vagrant locust), 613 nucleotides long. RefSeq lists it as uncharacterized. The record is from RefSeq and is a predicted model, not a curated record. The transcript has 5 exons. NCBI's taxonomy places the organism in Eukaryota, Metazoa, Arthropoda, Insecta, Orthoptera, Acrididae.
CCAUUCUCGGCCGUAAGUUCACGCAAAUUUGCGCUGCCAACGGAAGACGUUAUCGAUCGUGUGCGAGUCGCUUCAAUAUAUUGAAGAACCCAAGAGCCCUGCUGUUCGAUGUUCCUGUAGAUUUUUCUGACAGUGCCAGUUGUAGAGCCAUUCUUCACAAGUUAUUACAAGUAAACAUGAAGAAGGAAGCUUCCAUAGCAAGACAGUACUAAACCAGCUCCUCUUCAAAAUCUGUACCAAAAUUAUGUUGUGUGACCGGGUGCAAAGGAAAUUACCCGACGGGACCGAAAGUGCAAGUUUUUACAUUUCCAAAGGAAGAAAAAUUAUUAGAAAAAUGGAAACGGCCUAUCCCAAGGAAAAAUUUAACUAUCAGCAAAACAACAAAUGGACGCAGCAACUGCAGCAGGCCCCACAACGAGCUUCCGCAAUGACAAUGGAGGCUGCCCCGGGAUGGCCUGUUGCUGCUGCUCUCUCUCUUGGCCACCAGCUGCUGGUUGAGCUCAGCCAGCAUCUGGGGUGUGUAUGCUACAACAACAAGAAGAAGAAGAGUUGCCUCACGCUAUAAAAUCUGAACACAAACUACGAAAAUAUACUGCGAAAUCUGAUCACAAAC